ACAUCGAUGGUUCUGAAACAUCGACCAUCGAUGUCCAUCCCUACUCUAAAGUGUCCAGACCUACCAACCAUGAGGAAGAGCAAUAGUAAUCUUUUCUGAGCGCGAAGUGAGCUCUCAGUGCUGCUUCAUUGUAGCUGCUGUUUGCUUUUGAUGACCGUUCCUUUUCUUCUAUCAUGGGAGAAAUGGAGGAAGAGAUUACAAGCUGAGUGGU
This is a small nucleolar RNA of Pseudophryne corroboree (corroboree frog), 211 nucleotides long. RefSeq annotates it as small nucleolar RNA U3. The record is from RefSeq and is a predicted model, not a curated record. Lineage: Eukaryota; Metazoa; Chordata; Amphibia; Anura; Myobatrachidae. The transcript has a single exon.